UCUCAUGACUACCCCCACAGGUUUAUCAAUGCCCGCCGGCGGAUAGUUCAGCCUCUCAUAGAUCAAUCAAACCGGGCGGGUGCCAUGCCGCACUUUCCAGGUCCAGCGGGCGCGUACUCCCCGGACGCGGCGUCCAUGGGCUACAUGAUGGACGGCCAACAGCACAUGUUCCGCUCAGACCCUUACACGGACCACGCAGCGGCCGCUGCCUACUACGGCCACCCAGCGGCAGCGUACAACUAUCCCCACCAUCUAUAGGUUCGCGUGUAGCAGCGUAAGUAGGCUUGAGCGAUGUGGUCCCUCACGCCGCGUGCAGCCCCAUCCCCCUCCCCCCUCCCCCCGUGUCGAGUGGCCGAAGGUGUACAAGUGCGGCGGCCGCCGGCGGCAGAGAGGACUGUCAGCGCGCCGGCGGUGCCGGCCAGUGGCGGCGGUGUCAGAGAAAACAGUGUACAUAAACCUUGGGUGUCUUGGUGAGUUUGUAAGCACGGCCAGGGGUGGCGCGGGCAGGGCAGGGCAUGACACCCUUCUUCUCCUCCACACACGCCCGCCGGGUCGCUGUGAGGCUCGUCUCACCCCUCACCCCCCCAGAACACCACCGGCGCCAGCCCGUGUGUCUGGCGUAUUCCGUAACGCCAGGAUCAGGAGGGCGAGGCGCCAGCCCUCUCAUGACGUCAUACGGAUCACAGCAGAAGGAGCAGCACCUCUCCAUGACGUCACUGUAAUCGACACCAACGUCAGCAGCAUCGGCAGCAGCAGGAGUGAAGCGACGCGCCAUCUUUGGUGCAACAGCUGCACUAACGGUGCGAGGUCCUCGUUUUGAACAACCUCUCAAGUGCCGCGUAGCGUCACAUACCUGAACUAAUUUGAAAGUGAUAUAUGUAAUUAUUUUGCACCAGAUUUUCGUUUUACGAACAAUUCCUAAGCAAUUAGAAAACAAAAACAAUGGCGAAUAUUCAGUGCAGUGGUGACUCUCAAGAGAACAUUAACGGUAAAAGCCACAAUAAUCCGCCAAGUACUCAUAAGCCAACAUCCACACCGAGAUGCGCCACUGGUCGGGUCAGACAGAUGACCUAAGAUGACCUAGCUCGCCUUUGUGACCCCCCCAAACUCAGGAAAAGUGUGAUGGCAGGACGACCCUGGCAUGAUGGUAAUUUAGCCAACCCACAGUUAAAAAUAUGUAGCGUGAACACGCAUACACGCACUCUUAUAAACCACACACACACACACACACACACACACACACACACACACACACACACACACACACACACACACACACACACACACACACACACCCUCAUUAUCUCCGAAUAUGAUUUUAUCCCCACCAAAGUCUUGCACUUCUUGACACAGCCAGCAGCACCUCUCAUCCUUCCCCAGCUCUCGAACCUAAACCAAUCAUGUAUCCUAAACUGCCAUCUUAUGGCUCAUCAAUUACCUCACUACACACAACCCCACGUUCCCCUCAUACAUACAUCCCUUCAGCUCCCUCAACCAGUUCCCUCUCAUCAACCCAACCUUCGCACUCUGAUAUUGCAGAAAGUAAUGGAGACUGUGGCGGCUGUAUACGAUAGCGAAUUCAGUAUACGAUUGGAGUUUUCAUCCUGUAUGUACUUUGUACGUUACUCUUGUAUAUUGUGCAUUGUACAUUGGUGGUUUACACAACUUUUAGGGGAAGCGACUUUCUGCAAUAGCUUGUGGGUUUUAAGAAAGCCUAAAAAAAUACCUCGAUUUUAAAAAACAAGCUUCGAUUUCUAACUUUUGCGACAGAUAUCAUCAUCUGGUACGAUGGUAAACUGUGUGGUCAGAGAGAAAAAAAAAAGACUGGUGAUAAUCCCAAUAAAUGUAAUAUAAACGCUUUAGUGGUCACGAGUCCCCACAGCCGACCCCCCGAAGGAUGCCAGCACAGAUCAGUGGUCCCAGAUCCGAAUUGGCAAGUGCUAGCAAAUUGGUUCCGCAACGUUGUUGGGCCUGGCAACAGUGGUUGGCAGAACACAGACAUUGGUGUCUAAGGGGGACUCAUUACUACUCCUACUUAACUUUGUAUAAUAGGUAACAUUUAAAUAAAAAUAAAUCAAGCAAGAAGUUAAUAAAAAAAAUAACCAAAAACACACUUUUCACACAUGCAGCAAUAUUGAUAUUAUUUCUGUGAUGUUCUGUGUUAAUGCCGUGUGUCCGGUGCCCUUGUAGAGCCCAGACGACACACCCGUGACAGAGUAUGUGAGCGACUUGUUGCACAAUGUCGACCACAGUUUAACACGCUCACCUCCAGCGAUGACCAUAACCGAGUACUGCUUUGUAACCGUUCAUUUUUUAUACUUUUAUCAUUUAUUAUUAUUAUUAUUAUUAUUAUUAUUAUUAUUAUUAUUGUUAUCAUUUAUAUUUUCCUAUCUCAUAAAAGGUAUCCAGAUAAUUGUGUGCCCCCAACCCCCUUUCCCAUCUUUAAGUGCACAUUCAAAAAAUGUAUGAAUUUAGUUGUAUCCAUUUUGUAAAUCCUAAAUUAAGCUACACUAAAAUUUAUAAAGUUUUAAAUAAAAAAUCAUCCCUGGUAACCCACCACGUACAUUGAUGUUAACUUUAUACAGUAUCAUCAGUCGAAUUCAUUGUAUAAAUACAACAGUUGUGGGUAUUGCAAUUAAUGAAAGUUAAAACUAUUUUUAAUGUGAGAGAGCGAGAGAGAGAGAGAGAGAAAGACUUAGCCCCCUUGUUUUAUCAGCUCAUGUGCACACUCAGUCUGAUGUAUUUUUUUUAUUUAGUAUCUUUUUAUAUUUUUUAUUCAACUGUUCAUUAUAUGAAUCUUAAAGGAAAGCGACUGAAAUGGGUUUUCUUGUUACUGUGCUCUUGUGUUGCCACAUUGUAAUAUUAUAAAGCUGUUUUUGGCGUCAGUGGACCCCGUAUGGUUAGGUAACUGUGUAGUAGUAAAAAUCUAAUCGAUUUAUGAGCUGCUUUCCCUUGUUUAUUGUACAUAGUGGACGUUCCCCUGUGGCAGUGACUGGGCCGCUCCUCUUCCUGUGACUGCAGUGUAGAGUGACAUUUCUACAGUGGUUGUAUAUUUGUAUCCUAAAUUCAACUUCUCAUGAAGAAAACAUUGUUACAACAAAGUUCAAAAUGUCUGCAAUUCUGUAAAAUACAUUUUUUAGCUCUUAUAAUAGAAUCAUAAGAAUUUAGUUGAUCCGUUAUCGAAAUUCUUCUCUCCAGUCUGCAUUCAAUGAAAGCAUUAAAUGCUGGGUAUUGUGUAUAUGAUUUUUCCAAAAAUAAACGUGUUUUAAACUAUG
Long non-coding RNA from Procambarus clarkii (red swamp crayfish), 3275 nucleotides. RefSeq lists it as uncharacterized. The record is from RefSeq and is a predicted model, not a curated record. NCBI's taxonomy places the organism in Eukaryota, Metazoa, Arthropoda, Malacostraca, Decapoda, Cambaridae.